RNAcentral lists this long non-coding RNA (392 nucleotides) under Prunus persica (peach). RNAcentral's name for it is "long non-coding RNA (PPER_LNC006514)". The record is from RNAcentral. Lineage: Eukaryota; Viridiplantae; Streptophyta; Magnoliopsida; Rosales; Rosaceae.
ACCAAUCAAAAAAGAGUUAUAGCAUUUAUAACUCUCCAAAUCAUGGAGUAUGGUUGGAGUUGAAUUUUUUUAGAGAGCUCCUAAAAUAAUUUUCUUAUAUUUUUAGCUAAAUUUUAACAAUAGAGAGCAUCAUUGUAGUUGUGGAUGCUCUAAAGCAAGGAGAUGUUUGCCGAUACUAUUGUUAUGUGCUGGCAAAGAUAGCAACCAUCCAUCAGUGCAACUACCUACAAGUUGCAAGUCUAGAGUGAAAUUGGUACUUAGGUGACGAGGGGUAAAUUUAAAGGAUAUUCAAUCAAGAACACAACAACCUUCACACACUCUAGACCUUGGCCAAAUACUCUUAUGACUAGUCAACUGUUAGAUAUGAAUUAUAUCAAACAAUAACAUACACA